AGUUUGAUCAUGGCUCAGAACGUACGCUGGCGGCACGCCUAACACAUGCAAGUCGAACGAAGUAGCAAUACUUAGUGGCAGACGGGUGAGUAACAUGUGGGUAUCUGCCCUUUGGCCUGGAAUAACACGAGGAAACUUGUGCUAAUACCGGAUAAGUCUUUACGGAGAAAGCUUUAUGCACCAUUGGAUGAGCCCGCACUUGAUUAGUUUGUUGGUGGGGUAAUGGCCUACCAAGACUGUGAUCAAUAGCUGAUUUGAGAGGAUGAUCAGCCACAUUGGGACUGAGACACGGCCCAAACUCCUACGGGAGGCAGCAGUGGGGAAUCUUGCACAAUGGAGGAAACUCUGAUGCAGCGAUGCCGCGUGAGUGAAGAAGGCCCUUGGGUUGUAAAGCUCUUUCGUCGGGGAAGAAAAUGACUGUACCCGAAUAAGAAGGUCCGGCUAACUUCGUGCCAGCAGCCGCGGUAAUACGAAGGGACCUAGCGUAGUUCGGAAUUACUGGGCUUAAAGAGUUCGUAGGUGGUUGAAAAAGUUAGUGGUGAAAUCCCAGAGCUUAACUCUGGAACUGCCAUUAAAACUUUUCAGCUAGAGUAUGAUAGAGGAAAGCAGAAUUUCUAGUGUAGAGGUGAAAUUCGUAGAUAUUAGAAAGAAUACCAAUUGCGAAGGCAGCUUUCUGGAUCAUUACUGACACUGAGGAACGAAAGCAUGGGUAGCGAAGAGGAUUAGAUACCCUCGUAGUCCAUGCCGUAAACGAUGUGUGUUAGACGUUGGAAAUUUAUUUUCAGUGUCGCAGCGAAAGCGAUAAACACACCGCCUGGGGAGUACGACCGCAAGGUUAAAACUCAAAUGAAUUGACGGGGACCCGCACAAGUAGUGGAGCAUGUGGUUUAAUUCGAAGAUACGCGCAGAACCUUACCAACACUUGACAUGUUCGUCGCGACUCUAAGAGAUUAGAGUUUUCGGUUCGGCCGGACGAAACACAGGUGCUGCAUGGCUGUCGUCAGCUCGUGUCGUGAGAUGUUGGGUUAAGUCCCGCAACGAGCGCAACCCUCACUUUUAGUUGCCAUCAUUAAGUUGGGCACUCUGAAAGAACUGCCAGUGAUAAGCUGGAGGAAGGUGGGGAUGACGUCAAGUCCUCAUGGCCCUUACGUGUUGGGCUACACACGUGCUACAAUGGUAUCUACAACAGGAAGCAAGACUGCGAGGUCAAGCAAAUCCUUAAAAGAUACCUCAGUUCGGAUUGCACUCUGCAACUCGAGUGCAUGAAGCUGGAAUUACUAGUAAUCGUGGAUCAGCGUGCCACGGUGAAUGCGUUCCCGGGUCUUGUACACACCGCCCGUCACACCAUGGGAGUUGGUUCUACCUUAAGGCAAGGUUUCAAACCCUUGACCACGGUAUAGUCAGCGACUGGGGUGAAGUCGUAACAAGGUA
Molecule: ribosomal RNA, 1431 nt
Filed under: uncultured bacterium
Lineage: Bacteria
Description: bacterial SSU rRNA
Rfam family: Bacterial small subunit ribosomal RNA
Source: RNAcentral